RNAcentral lists this long non-coding RNA (1035 nucleotides) under Lupinus mutabilis. Its description in RNAcentral is "partial ncRNA". Lineage: Eukaryota; Viridiplantae; Streptophyta; Magnoliopsida; Fabales; Fabaceae. The record is from RNAcentral.
AAAAGUUAAAACAGCCACAGAGAGAGACAGAGAGAGAUAGAGAGAGAGAGAGCAUUCUAGAAAAUACGCCAUACGACCCAACAAAACCUCUAUCUCUCUCUCUCUUCCGUGUGCGUUUAUCAUCGUACUUUUAUCUUCGAUUCUUCUAUUUUCGAUUUCAGUUGUCGUGAAAUAAUGGAGUCUCACGAUGAAACAGGAUGCCAGGCACCAGAGCGAUCCAUACUUUGCAUCAAUAAUUGCGGCUUCUUCGGAAGAGCUGCAACCAUGAACAUGUGUUCCAAGUGCUACAAGGACACGCUGCUGAAGCAGGAGCAGGACAAGCUUGCUGCAUCAUCGGUUGAAAAUAUCGUGAACGGAACUUCCAAUGGCAAAGGAAAACAAGUCGUAACUGCAGUAGCUAUUAACGUGCAAGUUGAAAAUGUCAAGGUCAAGACAGUCUGUAAUGAGAUUUCUGCCUAUUCAACCUCUGCCGAGAGUUUGCAAAGCAAGGCCAAAACAGGUCCGAGCCGAUGCGCCACAUGCAAGAAGCGUGUUGGGUUAACCGGUUUCAGCUGCAAAUGUGGAAACCUCUUCUGUGCAAUGCACCGCUAUUCCGAUAAACAUGAUUGCCAAUUUGAUUAUAGGACUAUCGGCCAGGACGCCAUAGCUAAAGCCAACCCUGUAAUUAAGGCAGAUAAGCUUGACAAAAUCUAGACAUGAACAAAAAGACCGAAGGUUAAUGUAUGAAGCUCGAUGUGUCAUCUUUUAUCAGCAACUCCUCAAUCAUAUAUAUAAACUGCUUGGCUUUUUAGGUGUCCUAUAGUGAUUAAAAUGGUCUAUGUCAUGGUAACAAGGACAUCUUUUAGGGAAAACCUGCAUCCCUUGUUGAUUGGUGAGAUUCACUUGUUAGCUCCAGUGUGAGUGUUUGUGUUGGUUUGAUGGAUUCCUUUUCUAAUUUGAUUCCUGCUUGGUCUGUUUUUUUAUCUUCUUAAUGCAUGAACUUCAUAUUUGCCUAGUUUUUAUGUGCUCUUGUUACUGAAUUGUUUUAAAAUCUGU